GCCGAAGUGGUGGAACUUGGUAGACACGCUAUCUUGAGGGGGUAGUGCCUUACGGGUGUGCGGGUUCAAAUCCCGCCUUCGGCACCA
Molecule: transfer RNA, 87 nt
Filed under: Deltaproteobacteria bacterium
Lineage: Bacteria; Pseudomonadati; Myxococcota; Myxococcia
Also listed under: 2 other names
Description: tRNA-Leu
Rfam family: tRNA
About the family: Transfer RNA (tRNA) molecules are approximately 80 nucleotides in length.
Source: RNAcentral